This 450-nucleotide ribosomal RNA is filed under the name uncultured Glomus. RNAcentral describes it as "SSU rRNA". It matches the Rfam family "Eukaryotic small subunit ribosomal RNA", at positions 569 to 1025 of the family's 1831-position model. The record is from RNAcentral. Lineage: Eukaryota; Fungi; Glomeromycota; Glomeromycetes; Glomerales; Glomeraceae.
AGCAGCCGCGGUAAUUCCAGCUCCAAUAGCGUAUAUUAAAGUUGCUGCAGUUAAAAAGCUCGUAGUUGAAUUUCGGGAUCGAUAUAUCGGUCGUGCCUCGGUACGUACUGGUAUUUUCGGUUUCUACCUUCUGACGAACCUUGAUGUCAUUAAUUUGGUGUCUUGGGGAAUCAGGACUGUUACUUUGAAAAAUUAGAGUGUUUAAAGCAGGCUCACGCUUGAAUACAUUAGCAUGGAAUAAUGAAAUAGGACGUUUGAUUCUAUUUUGUUGGUUUCUAGGAUCGACGUAAUGAUUAAUAGGGAUAGUUGGGGGCAUUAGUAUUCAAUUGUCAGAGGUGAAAUUCUUGGAUUUAUUGAAGACUAACUACUGCGAAAGCAUUUGCCAAGGAUGUUUUCACUAAUCAAGAACGAAAGUUAGGGGAUCGAAGACGAUCAGAUACCGUCGUAGUC